AUUGAACGCUGGCGGCAGGCCUAACACAUGCAAGUCGAGCGGAUGAAGGGAGCUUGCUCCUGGUUUCAGCGGCGGACGGGUGAGUAAUGCCUAGGAAUCUGCCUGGUUGUGGGGGAUAACGACCGGAAACGGGCGCUAAUACCGCAUACGUCCUGAGGGAGAAAGUGGGGGAUCUUCGGACCUCACGCUAUCAGAGGAGCCUAGGUCGGAUUAGCUAGUUGGUGGGGUAAAGGCCUACCAAGGCGACGAUCCGUAACUGGUCUGAGAGGAUGAUUGGUCACACUGGAACUGAGACACGGUCCAGACUCCUACGGGAGGCAGCAGUGGGGAAUAUUGGACAAUGGGCGAAAGCCUGAUCCAGCCAUGCCGCGUGUGUGAAGAAGGUCUUCGGAUCGUAAAGCACUUUAAGUUGGGAGGAAGGGCAGUAAGUUAAUACCUUGCUGUUUUGACGUUACCAACAGAAUAAGCACCGGCUAACUACGUG
RNAcentral lists this ribosomal RNA (484 nucleotides) under uncultured bacterium. RNAcentral describes it as "partial 16S ribosomal RNA". It matches the Rfam family "Bacterial small subunit ribosomal RNA", at positions 30 to 507 of the family's 1533-position model. The record is from RNAcentral.